GACGAACGCUGGCGGCGGGCUUAACACAUGCAAGUCGAACGGAAAGGCCCUGCUUUUGUGGGGUGCUCGAGUGGCGAACGGGUGAGUAACACGUGAGUAACCUGCCCUUGACUUUGGGAUAACUUCAGGAAACUGGGGCUAAUACCGGAUAGGAGCUCCUGCUGCAUGGGGGGGGUUGGAAAGUUUCGGCGGUUGGGGAUGGACUCGCGGCUUAUCAGCUUGUUGGUGGGGUAGUGGCUUACCAAGGCUUUGACGGGUAGCCGGCCUGAGAGGGUGACCGGCCACAGUGGGACUGAGAUACGGCCCAGACUCCUACGGGAGGCAGUAGUGGGGAAUAUUGCACAAUGGGCGGAAGCCUGAUGCAGAAACGCCGCGUGCGGGAUGACGGCCUUCGGUUUGUAAACCGCUUUCGCCUGUGACGAAGCGUGAGUGACGGUAACGGGUAAAGAAGCACCGGCUAACUACGUG
This 468-nucleotide ribosomal RNA is filed under the name uncultured bacterium. RNAcentral's name for it is "partial 16S ribosomal RNA". It matches the Rfam family "Bacterial small subunit ribosomal RNA", at positions 28 to 507 of the family's 1533-position model. The record is from RNAcentral.